Molecule: ribosomal RNA, 253 nt
Filed under: Gemmiger formicilis
Lineage: Bacteria; Bacillati; Bacillota; Clostridia; Eubacteriales; Oscillospiraceae
Description: partial 16S ribosomal RNA
Rfam family: Bacterial small subunit ribosomal RNA
Source: RNAcentral
AACGUAAGGUGCAAGCGUUGUCCGGAAUUACUGGGUGUAAAGGGAGCGCAGGCGGACCGGCAAGUUGGAAGUGAAAACUAUGGGCUCAACCCAUAAAUUGCUUUCAAAACUGCUGGCCUUGAGUAGUGCAGAGGUAGGUGGAAUUCCCGGUGUAGCGGUGGAAUGCGUAGAUAUCGGGAGGAACACCAGUGGCGAAGGCGACCUACUGGGCACCAACUGACGCUGAGGCUCGAAAGCAUGGGUAGCAAACAGG